CCGCACAUCAGAAUGGGACAUGGAGCUUUGCAAAGACCUUAACUGUUUUGUGACUCUGUGAAACCAUAAAGGAGAAUGAGCUUCGGAGGCUUCUGACCCUUAUUCUGAUGCUGGUGUAGAAAGCAGCUCAAAACAAAUCCACUGAAGACUGAACAGCAACAAAAUACUGGAAAGCAUUGCAAGGUGACAGUUAUUGGAAACCCACUGGAAGCAACGGUUCUUCUGCCUCUGACCUCAAAGCACAUUUGACCAGAAACCUGAAGGUAGCAUGAAUGUGGUAGUUUGUUUUUUUCCCUGGCAAGGACCCACAGCUCUGCUCUGGCUUGGAGGCUUGGAGGGGUGGACAAAUGCCAGGAGCCAUCCACUGUGGCUGUCUGCCAGGAGGAUGCAGAGGGGAGCAAUAAGAGAGCAGCUGGUCUCCAGGCACCUACAGAGACUUCUGAAAUUUCUCUCCUCAUCUUACUUGAUCACAGCAGUCGUCUCACCUCAGUCUUGCCUUUAUGGUGAGAUUAAUUUAUCCUUCCAACUCAUGUGCCUGUGA
Molecule: long non-coding RNA, 541 nt
Filed under: Anas platyrhynchos platyrhynchos (common mallard)
Lineage: Eukaryota; Metazoa; Chordata; Aves; Anseriformes; Anatidae
Description: lncRNA (ENSAPLG00000018415.1)
Source: RNAcentral